UGAGCCAGCAGUCAGCACAGAGCCUGAUGCGGGGCUCGAAUCCAUGAGCUGUGAGAUCAUGACCCUAGCCGAAGUCGGACGCUCAACCGACUGGGCCACCAGGGCGGCCUAAGUUAGGGGACUUUCUAAAGCAAGUUGGUACCAUAUAAUUUCCAAGAUGUCCAAACUGAAGUGUCUCAGUAUAUUCAUUCAUUUAUUUAUUCCACAAACAUUUCUGGCUACCUGCUAUGUAGUCCAGGCCCUAGGUAUUGGAGGAGGUCACUGAGAGGACAUGACCUCUGGUUGACCCAACAGGUGCACCUGGGCAAUUGGAGGCUCCUAGCGCCCCUCCCUGUCCUUGGGAUGUCUGUUUCACUCAGCAUUCUCACAGCUGGAGCCAUUUUAAGGAUGAAACCUGGAGAGGGUAAUGUAUUAUUGAGACCAUCUGGAUGGUGUAAUGACUCAACCCCCUUAAGGCUUCUUUAUAAACUUCAGACUCUGGCAGGCGGGUGUAGAGAUUUACUCAUCUUGCGUCGGCCCAAGACAAGCCCGCAGGUUAGCUGACUCACUAUCCCAGGUGUCUAUAACUAGAUGAAACCACUUCUGCAUCACUGUGAAAAAGAGCUCCCCUCUGGAAAACAAUGAUGCUUUAAUGAGCAGCCGUAUGCCAAAAUCAGGACAACAAGGUUACUGACAAGCAAGUCUGCAUUUAAAAUACAUCAGCUACUGGGACGCUAGUCAUGGUGCAAAUUAAGUCAGCUGCAAAAUGGGGUAAUGGAGUGCCCACUAAUGCAUGGAAUCUGUUACAACUAUUCUCUUGCUUUGCUUGGAAGAAGCACACAAAGUGAAGCUGUUAAGCAUCCUGACAUAGAAAUGGCUUUCAUGAAUAUUGCUGAUGCUUGUUACGCUGAACAUUGUGACAUUAAGAUGUGACAUCACAGUGUAAAUGUGUCUUACUGUAUCUGGCCCUGGAAUUGUGUGAGCAGAGCUUACUGGAAGGAACUGGAAGCCUGUCGAAUGUUCUUUGCAUCAUCAGAUAUGUAACACUGGAUCCAGGGGUGAUGGAGACGCUGCUCUUCCACAAAUGACAGGCUCUGGAAGUCAUGACCUCAAAUUAGAAUUGUGAGUUCCUCCAUACUGUGGACUAAGGACUUGGAACACCCACAAGCCCACCUGUGCUAUGAACUUAUUUUUAGAUCUGCCGCCUUCUCUUCACCUUUAAGUUCGAAGCCUCCUCUGGCCUUCCCUACUUCUCUCUAGACCACAUACCCUAACUUCAUUUAUUUUUACCAUGGUUAUUUUCCUGUUAUGUUGUUAAAUUAAUGGUCAUGUCCUCUUACGUUAAUGAUAGUAAAUGACAUUUGUUAUUAACGAUAGCGAUGAAAAGUCUGUAACAAAGAACAAUAAUAGUGGAUGCCAUAUAUUAAAUGCCAAACACUUUUCACAUAUUGUCUUUUUGAAUUUUCACAAAAACUUUUUAAAGUAGUUAUAAUUGUUUCUAUUUAACAUUUCAGGAUACUGAGACUCAGAGAAAUUAAAUAAUGUACCCAAAAUUAUGCAGCAAAGAUCUUUUUGGGGGAAGGUAGAAUCUAAGUACCAUGUUAUUUGUAUAUUCAUUUUCUAUAGAACAAUUUUUUUAUUUUCUAUAUCAUGUAAUUAUACUUCAUUUGUGUGUGUGUGUGUUAUAUGUAUGUAUGUGUAUGUGUAUAUAUAUGUGUGUGUGUGUGUGUGUAUAUACUAUAUAUAUAUAUGAAUCUAUUAUGUUUCUCUUACCAUAAUAUGAGCUCACUGAAGGCAGGUAUGUCUCCUAUUUCAAAUUUGUCUCCUCAGAUGCUUACAGAAUCUAGUAAUCUAGCAAAUUCAUAAAUGGACCUUUGUUUUCUCUUCGAGUCUUUCUGGACAUUUUGUCUGGUGGGUGUCAGACUAGAAGAAUGUGCCUUGAUUUUAGGCAAAUUAGUUCAAUUAUAUUUAAAGGAUUUGAUGUCCAAUACUGUACAGAAAAACAUCAGAUUAGAAACGGUGAGACUCAUUUUCAGUGCAAAAGCGGGCAUACAUUAACUUUGUAAUUAAAAAGAAAUGGACUCAUUACAUGGGUUGUAGCUUUGCAAUUGACUAUAUAUCUGUGUACCCAAGGGUUAGGUUCUUGAAAAAUAUCUUAGUGUAGAUUUCCCUGAAAAUAAAGCCUAAGUAAAGAGCUUGAAGACAGGUGGUUUAUAUGGGAAUAUGAUUUCAGGAGCACAAGUGAAAAAGGAAGGAAUGAACAGAGGAGGGAAGUCAGUGCCCACUGGUGAUGUGUUGCUUAAUCUUGUGGGGAAAUGAUGUCUAAGAAUUAUCUACCUGAGGAAAAAAGGAGAAACAUUUAUCCCUUAGCUGCUAGUUCCAUUGGUCAAGGAUUGCCACGUGAUGUUAAAUCUCUUGGUUCUGGAUUGUGAUAUGUAGACAGGGGUGGGGAUGGGAAAUUCCUGAGUGACUAAAAGAAAUGGGUUUUUGUAGCAGUGGGCUGGAAUAGGAGAUGAAACUGAGAGGGUUUUCAGUAGUAUUCAAGAAAUGUCAGUUAUACUUAGGUAAUGAAAAAUGCUUUUAUCAAGGUUGAUGAGAAGAUCAGGAUAUAUUGAGCAGGUUAAAAAUGUUCUUUUAAAUCAAUGUAUUAAUAUGAACAAGUCACCAGUUUGAGGAUACAAAAGUUUCCAACAAUGUCCAAUUGAUCCAGAUGACAAUAACGGAAGUCUGUUAGCUAUGUUAGUUUCUAUCUUCUACAUUAAAAUUUUUUGUAUAUGAAAUCUCUUUUAAAACCAAUGGUAUGUCUGUUGUUUCACUAGGAUGAGCCACUCACCUGCUGACAUCUUUAGAUUGUUUUUAGUGAAAUGAAAGUUGACAGGCUUUUGCUGCUUCUUUAUCAUUGUAAUGUUAAUGAUUUCUAGUUGGAUAUGUUUAACUUACAAUCUAGUAUUUUAAAUUUAUACACUAAAAUAAAAUACUGGGGAUACAUGUGAAUUUGUAGAAUAUCAUCUCUGUUCCUCUGAGUAAUGUGGAGUAACAUGAAAACUGAGGAUGCUUUUGAAGGUGAGGAAAUCACCUGCAUCAUGCUGUGAUGUGUUAUUCUAUUCUUUUUCAUGACCUGUCAGUCUUCUUGAAUAGCACUGUUUUCUAAUAUAGCCUAGUGACUGAAAUAAUCUGCAUAGAGCUUUGAUUGUGGAUUGUAAGAUCUCUACAAUAUCAUUUUCGGCAAGAAUCCUGAUCUAACAUUAUACUGUUUAAGCCUGGAAUACCAGAUGGGACCUAUCACAAAACUCUUAGACCUGGAGAGGUUAUCACAAAAAGAAAGAUAAAAUUUUUUUAAAAAGGAAAAAUACUGAAAAGCAACUCAGAACAGUGUUCCAUGUGAAUGAUGGAGAAUAUCUGAGGAAGGGUAACAUACAUUCUCAGAUCAUAAAAUGCACUGAAUAUUAAAUGUAGUCAGUAAAAACAUACCAAUUUCUAGUCAUAGUGAAAAUGAAAAAUGUCAAGGAAAAGGAGAUAAUAAAAACUAUCAGGUGGAAAAAAGAUUGCCUUUAAAAAAACAGUAAUUAGAUAAAUGGUAGAUUGCAGAUAAAGAAGAAAGGAUAUGGGAAGGAAAUAGAGUAAUAACAUCCAAGUGCUGUUGGGAACUAAUUCUUGAUCUGGAAUUUAUACCCAGUUAGGUUAUCAUUAUGGAGGGAAUAAAGAUGAAAACAUUUUUAGGCAUACAAAUAUCAAACAUAGAUCCUUACUUGAACUAUUAAAGGAUAAAUUUCACCAAACAGAAAGAAGAGGAUAAUGUGAUGACACAGAUAGUAAUAACAUUUUUAUGAUCUUUAGUUAAACUUUACUUACACUUUUUUUUAACAUUAAAAGAUAAUUAUAAAAUUCUAAGCUGGAUAGACUAGGAGUAUGAAAGCAUACCAGUGUUCUUGUAAUUUGGGAGGAGGAUAGAAAUACUGAAGUACUUUAUAUUUCAUAAGAAAAGCUAGGGGAUUCCAACCUAACAUGACAACAUAGGAGGUUCCUAAAUUUCCCACUUCCCAUGGAUGAACCAAAUCUAUAGUUACACAAGGAGCAAUUUCCUCAGAAAUCCAGAAACUGAGUUAUUUCACGUAUUGGGUGACUGAGAAAAUGCCUACAUCAAAAUAGGUACACCUAUUCUUACCAUAAAAUCAACUCCCAAUACAGUGCUGUAUAGAGUCAGGGGGGAAACCCCAACUCCCAGCUUCUCUCUGAAGAGGGAAAGGUUUGGACCACACAUCUAGUGCCCCAACUUUUAAGGCUGUCACCCAAAGCAUGGUCCCUCAGAUCAUUUAGCUGAAAGCAAAUGGGGCUUGCAUUCAUGGGACCCACAGACCUAUAGCAAACAAAGAUAUCACUUGGCCAUGGCUAUCCCCACAGCGUUCAAUGCAGAGGGAACAGGCAAAAGCACCCAUUCUCUUGGUCUUUCUCUGGAAGGGUUUUGGAUGAAUACUUUACAAGUUAUUGCCUGAGGAUCUGGCAUCUGAUUAGUAGGCAUCUAGGUGUUGACUGUUAUUGAACUUGGAGCUUGAGAGAACUGGUGAUCACUCCCCUCCCCACUUUUCUCUCUCUGGUUUUCUCCAACAAAACUGUUAUUAGCAUCUCCGUGAAAGAUGCUUGUCCACAUAUUUAGCACUUCAACUUAUAUAGCUACCAUCUGAGGGCUGGGUCCCUAAAUCACAAGGCUUGCAUUUACAGUUCUACAGGACUAUAGCAAACAGAAAAGGAGUUUUUGUAAGUGGGUGUAGGAACACUCUCCCUCCUCCAUACCCAUGGCAAUACAGCCUGAAUUAGUGCAGAGGGAGCAGGCUAAAAUGCAGUUUUCCCCUUAAAUGGGUUUGACUGCAUACUUUCCCAGCUGCUAAGUGUCUGGCUUCUAAUCACACUACAUCUAGGUGCUGACUACAGACAUCUCAUUUGAGACACUGACUGGUCUUGGCAUACUCCCAACUACUGGGAUCCCCCCAAAACAAAGAUGGUGGUUUGAGAGGCAAUGAGAAGCAUGUGCUGGGCUGAUGAUGAGGUUCAUCUACUACAUUAAAAUUGUCUGACAAAACUGGGAAAGGUGGUUUUUUUCUAUAACAUGCAGAAAGAAAAGCAGAAGGUAUCUACCCCUCCAUAUUCAUUGCAACAUUAUUCAUUAUAGCCAAGAUACAGAGACAACCUAAG
Felis catus (domestic cat) is the source of this 5169-nucleotide long non-coding RNA. RefSeq lists it as uncharacterized. The record is from RefSeq and is a predicted model, not a curated record. NCBI's taxonomy places the organism in Eukaryota, Metazoa, Chordata, Mammalia, Carnivora, Felidae. The transcript is spliced from 6 exons.